GAAAUGCGAUAAGUAAUGUGAAUUGCAGAAUUCAGUGAAUCAUCGAAUCUUUGAACGCAACUUGCGCUCCUUGGUAUUCCUUGGAGCAUGCCUGUUUGAGUAUCAUGAAAUCUUCAAAGUAAAUCUUUUGUUAACUCAAUUGGUUUCUACUUUGGUAUUGGAGGUCUUUGCAGCUUCACACCUGCUCCUCUUUGUUCAUUAGCUGGAUCUCAGUGUUAUGCUUGGUUCCACUCGGCGUGAUAAGUUAUCUAUCGCUGAGGACACUGUAAAAGGUGGCCAAGGUAAAUGCAGAUGAACCGCUUCUAAUAGUCCAUUGACUUGGACAAUACUUUUAUGAUCUGAUCUCAAAUCAGGUAGGACUACCCGCUGAACUUAAGCAU
RNAcentral lists this unclassified non-coding RNA (380 nucleotides) under plant metagenome. RNAcentral's name for it is "partial contains 5.8S ribosomal RNA, internal transcribed spacer 2, and large subunit ribosomal RNA". The stretch from base 1 to 105 matches the Rfam family "5.8S ribosomal RNA", at positions 50 to 154 of the family's 154-position model. The record is from RNAcentral.